Molecule: non-coding RNA, 4902 nt
Organism: Drosophila melanogaster (fruit fly)
Lineage: Eukaryota; Metazoa; Arthropoda; Insecta; Diptera; Drosophilidae
Source: Ensembl
ACUGAGGAACAAGUACUCGUUCUUGGGCACAUCGAACUGGCGAUCAUGGAUUAUGGUAGCCGUGUACAUCACCAUGCAGACGGCCACCAGGGCGAAUGUGUUCCGAACCGCAAAAUAUAUUCCCUGGUAGUUGAUAAAUAGGACAUUGAUAAAGAAUAUGAUCAUCAUAAUGUUGGCUAUUGCCACCAAACAGCUGAGCAGCAGAUCACCGGGAACAAUGAACAUGGGAAAGUAGGCGCCCCAAAAUAUCGAGGCCAACAUCAAGGCAACCACUACAAUGCCGGCGUAGAAGUUGACGAGUCUAUUCUCAUUGUGCUUCUGUUCCAUGGCUAUAUAAAUAGUUGAGCUUUCCACGAUCGCUGCGAUAAUGAUGUAGUUAAAGGGCACCUUGCGUCCUAGCUUGGUCCACGAUAAAGUGGCGACUGCGAAAAAGGUACACAGAAGCCACCAGCCGUAGCGCUCCUCCGAUCUGCUGUGGCUCAGCAUAUGGGUGUAACCUAUAAUGAUCCACUGUGUCAAUGCGAUGGCGGCCAGGAUCACACUAAGUCCGUAUAUCUUGGCCGCAUGACUGAUGCUCUCAUCCGGUGGCUCGCCAUAGACCUCCUGAUCGAUGUUCCGAAAAGUGUUUUUUUGAAUACUUGGCAUUGGACUAGGAAAUACCAGAGUUGAUAAAAUUCCAAUUAUCGAUUUCUUGACUUUAUUGCUCGAAACAAAUUCAAAUCUUUAACCGAAAGGUUUCUACUGGGUUAUCUAGAUCGGAUUUACAAUACUUGCCUUGAGCGGUCUGCAUUCUGUACAUAUUGUAGCAGGUGGAAAUGUAUAACAAUUAGUAAACAUUUUUAUUAAUCACGUUCACAUUGGAAUAGUAGAUAGGCCGUGUAAAUCAACUGCCAAACUUCCAAGAAUCUCCCCUUCAAUCGUAUUAGAGAACACGCAUAUGCAAAAGAACAGGGUAAAUGAGUUAAGGUAGAUCAGCAUGGAGCAGAUCGGUUCAAGUCCAAGCGGGGAGUAUUGCAAUCGUCCGUGCAUAAACUGCGCUUCCAGGGGGAUGACUAUUAAUACCAGGGCGCUCAGCACAGCACAGAAGGUCGGAAAAAAGUAUCGCGUGGAUACUACAGACAAAACGCUGAGCGGAAGGAGAGCUACCAGGAAAAUGGUCACAAUCACUCCGGUGACGAGGCCAUUGGGAAGAAACGAUUUUCGGCAUUUAGCUCCAGAGAACAUCAGUCCGCCCAAAACCAGUGCCAUUACGGUAAAGUAGAGCACCAAGUCGGGAAUGUCAUACAUGUUUACAUAGUAUGCGGCGGACAGCGUUAAGAGUCCCACAACCCCGCCGACCAUUGUCCAGACGAUCAGUGGCCGAACGCGACUGAUGGGCAGGCAGAUCAGGACUGCCAGGAUGGCGAGGGCGAAAAGCAGCCACACGUACGGCGGAACCGGCAGGAUUCUAACAAUGCUUAUCUUGAGCGACGCAAUAAACAUUAAGGGAAAUGCCGAUGCGGAACACAGUAGUACGGCUUCUAUGUAAACAGUACGGGCAAACACUAGCUGCACCUCGUCUGCUUCCUCUUCCAAUUCCACUUGCUCAUGCUGACAACAACUCAUCGAUCCGAAUUUUUUGAGACAGAAAUUUCAAAAAUUGAUGUAAUUCGACAUUUUGCUAAGAUUGUUCACUAGUAUUACUGAGGUAUACCAAUCAAAAACCAAAUGGCCUGUUCAUUGAUUUUCGAUGGUUUAAUUUAAGCCAACAACAUGCACUUAAAACCAUUCAGUUUUUAUCCAACAUAGUCGCAAAUACAUUUCUAGGCUAUUUGCACAUCAGCCUCAACAUAUUUUUUAUUCAACUAUUAACUAGCUUAUAGUACAGGGCAAAAACGAGCAUGCAGGAGAGUAGAAAAAUAAAGUGUAGGUAAAUGCCAUUGGCGCAAUCCGCAGUCUCCCCAUAAGGCACCUGCUGCAGCCUUCCACAAAUGAAACGAGCCUGAAAUGGAGCCAUGAAUGCGAUCAGGAUGACGAACACUAUGGCAAGUGCCAGGAGAUACCGCAUAUCAUUGAUGAUCAGGAAGAGUAUUAGCAGGACGAUCAUGGUGACGGUGAGCAGCAGAAAAAUGCAGCAAGUACAGAUAAUGUUGGGUAGCAGAACCUCCGGACUUUUGGCCCCAUACAAAUGCAGCAGGGCCAGCAGGGAUCCGGCAACCAAAAUGGCAAUCAAAAGGACCCAGACGCGCACUAGAUGCAUAUAAUACGCUCCGAACAGGGUGAGAAAGAACAAGGAUCCCAGCACCAAUCCCCAGCAUAACAAGGUCAAUGCUGGAGUCUGUGCGAUGCAGCCGAGCACUGAGAGAAUGAUGAAAGCUAAUAUCAGCCAAACGAACGGCGGCACUGGAAUUGCCUUGUAGACCCUCACAGCGAGUGCCGACAGUAUGAUCCACGAAAUGGAAGACAGCAGGCACAGCACUACGGAGGAUAGGUACACCCGGAAGAUGAAGGCCCGCAACUCCCGCUCGUUGAUGACUAAGACCUCCGGUCCCUCCGCAGGAACUGGCUCGCCACCAGGUCUUCCGGUUCUAAGGCCAUAACGACCCCAACCCCGAUUGCGAUUAUUCAUGUGUUAAUCAAUUAUUUUAGGUCAAUAUAAUGUAAUUUUGAAGAAAAAAGCAAAGUAAGUGAUUCAUUUUCUCUUAUAUUGAGACUAGGACUUUUCAUAAUACUCUGGCUUUAUUCUAAUUGCCUUGCAAUGAGAAUAUAUUUAUAUUUUCUGUACCGCCUAGGCUACACCGCACUAAGUAAUUAGACUGGAUGACAGUAUCCUUUGGUCUGGAACACCAUAGUAACUUGCCAGAUCGCUAAUCAGUUUCGAUCACACAGUGACAGCUAUUUCUCUCAAUCAAAAUCAUUUUCGAGUGAAAUUUUCGGAGCUUCAGAUGUUUGUCUGAUGGCCUCCUUUCUCUCGUCGACCAGGAUGAAGUAGCACACGCAGAAGAAGAACAUCAUUGAAUGCAAGUAUAAAGUCAGGGUGCAGACCAUGAGGUGCUCUUCGGGAACCACUUCCACGACGUUCAGACGGCCAUGGUUGAACUGCGCCUGAAUGGGGAUCGCUAUGAUCAGCAUCAGGAACAGAAUGCUGACGAAGGUGUCGAGCAGCUCAACACUCCCGGUGCAGAGCUGGACGAUUCCCACAAUGGUCAAGACCAACAGCAGUGCCAUCAUCAGCAGCGUGGAGCAAACACCGCCGGGCAGGAACUCCUGCGGGCACAUGGCCCCAGAGAAGUUGAGUAACAUAAUGAUCAGGGCCACGCCGAUCAUCACGAAACUGAUAAUGAGCGGGCUCAAGUCGUGGAUGAAAUGGCAGCCAAACAAGGUGGUACACACAACCACCAGACCUGUCAUGAACCACUUACAGGGAGAGUAGUAGGAUAUUCUCGGGAUACAAUGCAUGCAUAUCAUCACCAGAAAAAUUAUUAGAGCCAGGACGUAGCAGGGAAACGGAAGGUACCUCUGCAGGUGAAUAUGGGUCAGCAUGAGCAGAAUCCAUGCGCCCACCGUAAUUCCGAUAAGGAUCAGGCCAAUGUUAUAGAUGCUGCGGAUGAACUGGGUCAUUGGGUCCAGCUGCUCGAUCGUCGGCCGGAUGUUGUCCUGGUGGUAAAUGUUGUCCAUCCCGUUAAAAAUCCUUAUGGACCGAGUGUUAAGACUAGGUCUGGCCUGCACCCUGACACUUACCUCCUGGCAAAGCUGCUCACCUUCUAUAUCUUUUAUUUACAAAUUGGUAUCUUUUCUCAUUAAAGCCUUCUUUUUAUUUUACACGGACACGUUAAAUUAACUCCUAUAACUCUCACCAUUUGGGAGCCCAGAUGACAAAGUAAAAGGCCGCAAAGAACAACAGAAAGUGCAGAUAGAUGUUGACGGCGCAAAUAACGAAUUCGUAAUCGGGCAGCUGGAAUCGCCUGGAAUGAACCACCUGAGCAUGGUAAACGGAUGCGGGUAUUAGCAAAGUGGCCAAUAACGUGAAGUACACCAACUGGUAGAUCCAAUUGUCUGUGAAGAUAUACAUGGUCAUCACAAAGAUUGAGGACAUCACGAAAAUGACGAGCAGGAGGAACAUGGUCCUCUCUCCGGGGAGGAUGAUCUUGGGUAUCCAUGCGCCAGCGAAAUAGCAUAUCACAGUCAUGGCGGAGGCCACCAGAAGGGCAAUGCACACGCGGGAAAGGUUCCGCUCCAGGAGAAGCAGAAUAACGCCCAAACCUGCCAGACUUACAAACAACCCGGCCAUGAUGAAACUAUACCAAUAAAAACUCCGCAACUUGGUCAAAAUACAGAAGACAAAGAGAAACAUUAGGGACACCAUUGCACUUAUGAAUCCUGCCAUUAUAAGAUCUGCCUCCGGAGGAAUUACCUUGGACAGGAUUAUGGCAAGGAUCGCAGUUGUAGUCGAAAACAAUCCAGCCAUCAUGUAGCAGCGCCGCACAAAUAUUAUUUUCGACGAGUCGCCAUUUCCGUUGUCCAGUCCUCUGGAGCCUUCGCCUUCCACAACCGAACGUCGUGCCCUUAAUCUACGGGGUGCUAAGCGAAGCUGGUGUAUCGAAGGAUGCUCGUAUCGAACCAAAGUUCCAGGAGCCUGCUCUUGCUGCUGUGGCAAAGGAAAGUUGAGAAGCUGGAGGGCUGGUGGAUAGAUGACCCAGUCAUUUCUUAAACUGCCUCCUAACAUUGGGAGCACUUAGAGGGCAACCACUUAAAAUUUUGACAAAAUAUUUAUGGCACACCCUGAUUGGGUACGAAGACAUCCCUAAAAACAUAAACAAUACUAAUACUACUAAAAAUUACUAAUAGCCAAAAUAAUACAUAGCCUGUAAAUCUGAUUUAAGAACUGGAAAUAUUUAUAUACACCGUAUAUAUAUAACAAUU